This 62-nucleotide transfer RNA is filed under the name Cordylochernes scorpioides. RNAcentral describes it as "tRNA-OTHER". It matches the Rfam family "tRNA". Rfam says of the family: Transfer RNA (tRNA) molecules are approximately 80 nucleotides in length. The record is from RNAcentral. Lineage: Eukaryota; Metazoa; Arthropoda; Arachnida; Pseudoscorpiones; Chernetidae.
CCAUCGGUAGUUCAGUCGUAAAAUACUCGCCUGCCGCCCGGGUUCGAUUCCCGGCCGAUGCA